CCUACGGGGGGCAGCAGUGGGGAAUAUUGGACAAUGGGCGAAAGCCUGAUCCAGCCAUGCCGCGUGUGUGAAGAAGGCCUUCGGGUUGUAAAGCACUUUCAGUGGGGAAGAAAGCCUUGGGGCUAAUACCCUCGAGGAAGGACAUCACCCACAGAAGAAGCACCGGCUAACUCCGUGCCAGCAGCCGCGGUAAUACGGAGGGUGCGAGCGUUAAUCGGAAUUACUGGGCGUAAAGCGCGCGUAGGCGGUCUGAUAAGCCGGUUGUGAAAGCCCCGGGCUCAACCUGGGAACGGCAUCCGGAACUGUCAGGCUAGAGUGCAGGAGAGGAAGGUAGAAUUCCAGGUGUAGCAGUGAAAUGCGUAGAGAUCGGGAGGAAUACCAGUGGCGAAGGCGGCCUUCUGGACUGACACUGACGCUGAGGUGCGAAAGCGUGGGUAGCAAACAGGAUUAGAUACCCGAGUAGUC
Molecule: ribosomal RNA, 465 nt
Filed under: Vreelandella stevensii
Lineage: Bacteria; Pseudomonadati; Pseudomonadota; Gammaproteobacteria; Oceanospirillales; Halomonadaceae
Description: partial 16S ribosomal RNA
Rfam family: Bacterial small subunit ribosomal RNA
Source: RNAcentral